UACGAAGGGGGCUAGCGUUGUCAGGAAUCAUUGGGCGUAAAGAGCGUGUAGGCGGCCCGGUAAGUCCGCUGUAAAAGUCAAAGGCUCAACCUUUGAAUGUCAGUGGAUACUGCCGGGCUAGAGUCCGGAAGAGGCGAGUGGAACUCCUGGUGUAGCGGUGGAAUGCGCAGAUAUCAGGAAGAACACCAACGGCGAAGGCAGCUCGCUGGGACGGUACUGACGCUGAGACGCGAAAGCGUGGGGAGCGAACGGG
RNAcentral lists this ribosomal RNA (253 nucleotides) under uncultured bacterium. RNAcentral describes it as "partial 16S ribosomal RNA". It matches the Rfam family "Bacterial small subunit ribosomal RNA", at positions 524 to 776 of the family's 1533-position model. The record is from RNAcentral.